UUGGGUCUUGGUACUACAUGUACAGGAUAGGUGGGAGGCUUUGAAACCAGGACGCCAGUUUUGGCGGAGCCAUCCUUGGGAUACCACCCUUGUAGUACUGGGACUCUAACCAUAGGCCAUGAAUCUGGUCUUGGGACACUGUCAGGUGGGCAGUUUGACUGGGGCGGUCGCCUCCCAAAAGGUAACGGAGGCGCUCAAAGGUUCUCUCAGUACGGUCGGAAAUCGUACGUAGAGUGUAAAGGCAAAAGAGAGCUUGAUUGCAAGACAUACAGGUCGAGCAAGGAUGAAAAUCGGACUUAGUGAUCCGGUGGUUCUGCGUGGAAGGGCCAUCGCUCAACGGAUAAAAGCUACCCUGGGGAUAACAGGCUUAUCUCCCCCAAGAGUCCACAUCGACGGGGAGGUUUGGCACCUCGAUGUCGGCUCAUCACAUCCUGGGGCUGUAGUAGGUCCCAAGGGUUGGGCUGUUCGCCCAUUAAAGUGGUACGCGAGCUGGGUUCAGAACGUCGUGAGACAGUUCGGUCCCUAUCCGUCGCAGGCGUAGGAAAUUUGAGAAGACCUGUCCUUAGUACGAGAGGACCGGGAUGGACGUACCUCUGGUGUACCAGUUGUCCUGCCAAGGGCAUGGCUGGGUAGCUAUGUACGGAAUGGAUAAGCGCUGAAAGCAUCUAAGCGCGAAGCCAACUUCAAGAUAAGAUUUCCCACCGCAAGGGUAAGACCCCAGAAAGACUAUCUGGUUGAUAGGUCGAAGGUGUAAGUGCAGCAAUGUAUUUAGCUUAUCGAUACUAAUAGGUCGAGGACUUGACCAA
RNAcentral lists this ribosomal RNA (806 nucleotides) under Clostridioides difficile. RNAcentral describes it as "partial 23S ribosomal RNA". It matches the Rfam family "Bacterial large subunit ribosomal RNA", at positions 2117 to 2925 of the family's 2925-position model. Lineage: Bacteria; Bacillati; Bacillota; Clostridia; Peptostreptococcales; Peptostreptococcaceae. The record is from RNAcentral.